AUUUAUGUAAAGAAACCAAUAAACAUCAAUGUCCAUGACGAAAAAUAUUACAUAAUACCGAAAUAGAUCGAUAAGGAAAUUGAUAAAAAAAAAAUAGGUAUGCGAACCCGAGUUGCGUAACAUUGCAUUGAUUUUUUCCAUUGACCCGGGAUCGUCGAUUAGGUUUUAUCCAUUAUUCACCGGAAGUAUCAUUUCUUUAGUUUUUGUAUCGACAGUCAGAUUGAUAAAUAUUAAAUAUUAAAGACACUGGUCAAGCAAGACAAAAAGAGUUAUGAGUCGAGUAGAAAACCUAAAACGCAGAUGGAGAAGAACACGUAUUUUAAAAAAGAUUCGGAAGCGAGAAUUUCAGAC
This 351-nucleotide long non-coding RNA is filed under the name Mytilus galloprovincialis (Mediterranean mussel). Lineage: Eukaryota; Metazoa; Mollusca; Bivalvia; Mytilida; Mytilidae. The record is from RNAcentral.